Molecule: long non-coding RNA, 1898 nt
Organism: Amphiprion ocellaris (clown anemonefish)
Lineage: Eukaryota; Metazoa; Chordata; Actinopteri; Pomacentridae
Exons: 3
Source: RefSeq, a predicted model, not a curated record
GCGAUCUCCAUCAGGGUAAUCAGCAGAAGUGGGAGCAGAUGUUGCAGAGCCUAUCAGUUCACUUCUCCUUCACAAUAUAACCAGACUCUACUCUUCUGUCGACACUGGAUCGUAAAAGCAUCUACCUGGACUGCCUUCCGUUUGUGUUCAUCUCUCUCCCGGAUUCGGCCUCACCAGACUCACCAACCAACCGGCCCCUCUCCCCUUCUGGACACAGUCACCUGGUUCAUCUCCUACCUUUUCCUCCGCCAUCCUCCGACCUGCUCCAGCUUCAGCCCUCACCUGCCGUCUCUGCAGACACACGUCCAUGCCACCUUCGAGUCUCUGUCACCCCGUUUCCUAGCGGCCAGCUGGGAACCAGUCCGAGCAGGCUCGGUUUGAGUUUUCUUGUUUAUAGUUCUGAUAGAGUAAUAAUUAUUGUAGUCUUUUGUUGUGGAGUUCUUGCUUGUAGUUGUAGUCAUUGUAGCCGUUGUUUACGGAGUUUCUAGCUUGUUUAAAAUAUCUAUUGUCGUAUUUGAGAAUCAGGUUUGUUGUGUGAGCUUUAAAGCUCUUUUGCUUCAUAGUUGUUUUUUGUACUUCUUCGAUCUUAGUGUAGCUCCUCUGAGUCUUGAGUUAUUCUUGUUUCUCAGUUUUGUUCUCCUGCCCAGGUAUUACCUGCUGUGGGUCAGCUAUAGCUUAAUUCUAGUCUUGUUUAAUCUGCCAGCCACUAGAGGCAUUGCAGAGUUUUAGUUGUAGUUGUUGUCUUGUCAUUCUGGUUAUGUCCGGUUUUGAGUUCAAUCGGGAUUUGUAGUUCUAUAAGCUUUUCUUGUUGGAAAUGAUUUAUUGCCGCAACUGCCUGACUUCCUCUCUUUCCUGCAUCUGAGCCUCAGAGAAAAGCCUAACAGCUGGAACCGAAUAUUCGGGGGUUGUGCCCCUGCCCCCUGCUGUAUCACGCGGACCUACCAAGCCUGAUGUCAUGCUUCACUUCGCCCAUUUCUCGACCAGCUUUGCCUGAAUUCUGUCUGAACCUUCAGUUCAUCAUCCACAGCCAACCUGGUCUUCUCUGGAUUCCAUUCUGAACAACCCCCACCUGGCCCCUGCACCUGCCAAGAUGCCAUUCCAACCAUGCGACAUGCCUCCUCUGCCCGCAUUCCUUCACCCUCUCUCCCUGGUCAGGCUGUCAGUUAAUUUGCUCCGCUCUCUCUCUCUGGGUCAUACUUUGAGUUUGUAUAUUUUUUCGUGCUGUUUGUUUGCUGUGUUGCGUUUACAGUUCAUAUUGUUCCUAUCAGAGGUUGUGUGUCUAAUCUAGUCUUGUUCACUUACCUAGCUUGGGGUUACCAAGACCUGGUAAGUUCCUGCCUUCAAUAAUAUCUGCUUUCGUAAGAUGAAAUCUGCCAGGGUUUGAAAUUUGGUCCUUGUCUUUGCUUGUGUAAUUUAGCCACCAGUCCAGUAGAUGUCUCCCUUGGGAAAGCUAACUCUGUUUUCCUGAUCACAUCAGUUCCCUGUAGCUCUAUUGCUUCCUGUGUAGAUUGUAUAAAUAUUUAUUGCAAAUGCAUUUCAUCUUUCUGUACACUGGUCUGCCAUGUCUCCAUUGUCCUGCACUUGAGUCUCUGAUCUGCUCCAUGAUACAGUUUGUUGCAAAUUUUACCACCACGGUUUUCAUGUUUUCUGCAAAUGUACAUCAGUUCCAUAUGUUGAUUAAGGGUGUCCUUGAUAACCAAUAUUUGGUAUUGGCCCUGGAACAAAAAAAAACUUUCUACGCCUUUGGUGGUGUAAAAAGUGCAUGUAACACUUGUAUCAUUUUAUACUCUUCAAAGUAAGACAUUAAAAAACAGCACUGCUUUGGUGUGUGUGUGUGUCUGUGCGCACGCACGUGUGUGUGUGUGUGUGUGUGUGUGUGUGUGUGUGUAUAUGUAUAU